GAUGAACGCUGGCGGCGUGCUUAACACAUGCAAGUCGAACGGAAAGGCCCUGCUUUUGUUGGGUUCUCGAGUGGCGAACGGGUGAGUAACACGUGUGUAACCUGCCCUUGACUUUGGGAUAACUUCAGGAAACUGGGGCUAAUACCGGAUAGGAGCUCCUGCUGCAUGGUGGGGGUUGGAAAGUUUCGGCGGUUUGGGAUGGUCUCGCGGGUUAUCAGCUUGUUGGUGGGGUAGUUGCUUACCAAGGCUUUGACGGGUAGCCGGCAUGAGAGGGUGACCGGCGACAUUGGGACUGCGGUAGGGCCCAGACUGCUACGGGAGGCAGCAGUGGGGAAUAUUGCGCAAUGGGGGGAAGCCUGAUGCAGAAACGCCGCGUGCGGGAUGACGGCCUUCGGGUUGUAAACCGCUUUCGCCUGUGACGAAGAGUGAGUGACGGUAAUGGGUAAAGAAGCACCGGCUAACUACGUG
Molecule: ribosomal RNA, 468 nt
Filed under: uncultured bacterium
Lineage: Bacteria
Description: partial 16S ribosomal RNA
Rfam family: Bacterial small subunit ribosomal RNA
Source: RNAcentral